Molecule: long non-coding RNA, 310 nt
Organism: Perca flavescens (yellow perch)
Lineage: Eukaryota; Metazoa; Chordata; Actinopteri; Perciformes; Percidae
Exons: 3
Source: RefSeq, a predicted model, not a curated record
GGACAUGGGAGAUGAGUCUGAGAGUUGGAGCAAAAACUUCCGAAAUAUGGGAAUAUUUCAGGCCAGCUGGUAAAAGAGUUGUCGGUACACUCUGUCAAACUUCACUUAGAAACACACAGGAGUUGUUCGAGACGUUUGGAGCAGUUUUUUUCUCUCCUUCAUAUCACAUCCGGGGCUCCAAAGAUGCGCUCACAGAAAAGAAGAAGUCAACAAAGCAGUCCGCCGUCUUCACAACUCUGAGAAACUACAGCAGGUGCUACGAACCGGAGCAAGGACUAACCUCGCCUCAUAACGAGGCCGUGACCUAUAU